UCUUAUGAGGUACCUCAGUGCAGAAAACAGAGUAGUUGAGUUGUCAUGAGCUGAAGGACCCCCUGGUGGGAGUCUCUGAGGAACUCUCUGUAGAUCUCCUUAGUGCAGUGGAGAACUACUGUUUGUUGACUGACAGCCUGUCCAUCCUGUCAUUGAAGUUGGCUCCCAAGCCUUUGCCACUCCCAGCCACAGCAGAAUCACUUGUGUGUGUAAGUUGAACACAUUUUACUGUAAAAACAAGAGCCCUGGUUGCUCAGAACAGUUCUAGUUCUCCCCUGGCUGUGCCUGAUGGAGGCAGAGGACAAGAUGGUUCAGCAUGUAACCCUUUCCUACCACAGAGCCAUGCCUUCACUUAAUGCCCCAAAAGGUGCAGCCGGUAUGUGAACCCCAUCUGGCUGACUCCUGGGGGCCCCAGCCAGGGCAGGGUGUGUGUGUGCAGAAUAAGCAGGGCCAGGGCCCCGCCCUGGCAUGGCUCAGCAGAGCCCUCCUCCCUCCCACCUCCCACCCUGCUGCCUUCAUCCCCCAGGCGCUGAAGUACGCCUUCCAGACCCACGACCGCCUGUGCUUUGUGAUGGAGUAUGCCAACGGGGGUGAGCUGUUCUUCCACCUGUCCCGGGAGCGUGUCUUCACAGAGGAGCGGGCCCGGUUUUAUGGUGCAGAGAUUGUCUCGGCUCUUGAGUACUUGCACUCACGGGACGUGGUAUACCGCGACAUCAAGGUUAGUGGCAGGGUGUGCACCAGGCUGACCUGUGGCAUGCACACCACAUGGGACUCACACUGGGGAGGUUGGGCUGAGCUUCUGCCCUCAUUCGCCAGGCUCCCCACCAAGGUCCAGGGUGGUGGUUCUGUAGCAAGCUGCCCCAAGUAGGGACCUUUCCAAGCCUCCCAUGAGCACUCCUAGGCCGCUAGUGGAGUGUGAACUGGCACAAUACCUACUUUAUUUUUAUUUAUUUAUUUAUUUAUUUAUUUAUUUUUGAGGAGUCUUACUCUGUUGAGUGCAGUGGUGUGAUCUCAGCUCGCUGCAACCUCUGCCUCCCGGGUUCAAGCGAUUGUCCUGCCUCAGCCUCCCAAGUAGUUGGGAUUACAGGUGCCCGCCACCAUGCCCAGCUAAUUUUUGUAUUUUUAGUAGAGACGGGGUUUCAUCAUAUUGGCCAGGCUGGUCUCAAACUCCUGACCUCGUGAUCCACCCACCUCAGCCUCCCAAAGUGCUUGGAUUACAGGCAUGAGCCCCCGCGCCCGGCCACGUUUAGAAGAUAGUUUGGCAGUGUCCACCAAAGCUGAGCACCAGCCAUCUGCCCUAGCUGUGUGCACAGGAGAAGUGGGGACACACACUCACCUUAGAAAGUGUCCCCCUCACUCAGCAGCAGGACUCACUCUAGCCCCAACUGGAACAACCCAAGUAUCCACUGUGAGAGGAACAGUCAGAUCCACUGUGGAGUGUUCUCACAGUGGGGCGCCACACAGCAGUUAGGAAUGAGCUACAGCUACACACGACAGUGUGGACGCGUCUCAUAGGCUAAUGUCGAGGGAAAGCUGCACAGAGGAGGUGAGUCCACAGUUCACAGGUGUGUCUGUGUGCAGUGGUACAGAUGGGAAGUAGAGGUUAAUUCUUGUGGGGGAUGGUCAGUAACCGGGAGGGGCACACAGGGCCUUCCAGGGGGAGAUGCCACCUCAGCCUCGCAAGUAGCUGGGACUAUAGGUGUGUGCCACCAUGCCUGGCCAAUUUUUUUUUUCAUAUUAAGAAAUAUGGAGAUGGGGUCUCGCUGUGUUGCCCAGGCUGGUCUCAAACUCGUGGGUUCAAGCAAUCCUGCCACCUAAGUCCCCCAAAUUGCUGGGAUUACAGGUGUGAGCCACUUUGCCUGGCUGCAUAUUUCAUAAUUAAAGGACAAAAAGUCUAGAAAAAAAGAAUAGAAGAAAGCUAGUGCCCCCACGUUCGAACUUAAGAACCGCAGUUCACAAUGGGGACGGUGGGUGGACAGGGCCUGGCUCUCGGCUCUCCCUGCCCAGCUGUUCCCAGGUACCCUGGGGGUGGGCCAGGGGGUGGGGAGGGUUGUAUCUGGCCUCUCUCUGAGCCUCAGAGGGUGAGGCUGUGUGUGCUGGGCCCAGCCUGGCAUGGGAGGGUUGAUGUCCAGGAGCCCCGGGCAUCUUUCCCUGGAAGGAAAGGCUGGGGUGGCAGGAAGCCUUGGGAGCAUGCGCCUGAGAUCCGUUGACUUUUCCAACAGCUGGAAAACCUCAUGCUGGACAAAGAUGGCCACAUCAAGAUCACUGACUUUGGCCUCUGCAAAGAGGGCAUCAGUGACGGGGCCACCAUGAAAACCUUCUGUGGGACCCCGGAGUACCUGGCGCCUGAGGUGCUGGAGGACAAUGACUAUGGCCGGGCCGUGGACUGGUGGGGGCUGGGUGUGGUCAUGUACGAGAUGAUGUGCGGCCGCCUGCCCUUCUACAACCAGGACCACGAGCGCCUCUUCGAGCUCAUCCUCAUGGAAGAGAUCCGCUUCCCGCGCACGCUCAGCCCCGAGGCCAAGUCCCUGCUUGCUGGGCUGCUUAAGAAGGACCCCAAGCAGAGGCUUGGUGGGGGGCCCAGCGAUGCCAAGGAGGUCAUGGAGCACAGGUUCUUCCUCAGCAUCAACUGGCAGGACGUGGUCCAGAAGAAGCUCCUGCCACCCUUCAAACCUCAGGUCACGUCCGAGGUCGACACAAGGUACUUCGAUGAUGAAUUUACCGCCCAGUCCAUCACAAUCACACCCCCUGACCGCUAUGACAGCCUGGGCUUACUGGAGCUGGACCAGCGGACCCACUUCCCCCAGUUCUCCUACUCGGCCAGCAUCCGCGAGUGAGCAGUCUGUCCACGCAGAGGACGCACGCUCGCUGCCAUCACCGCUGGGUGGUUUUUUCCCCCUAACUUUUUACUUUGCCUUUUUGGUUUGUGUCCCCACCCCCACCUCCUCACCCCUUUUCCAGUUCUUCUUCAGGCCCCUCCCAGACGCACCCCAGCGGCCCCUGCAGCCCCUGCCUCCAGCCUCACCUUUGUGCCCAGACUCGCAUUUGGAAGACUCCACCUCCCGCCCAGGCCUGGGCUGUUGGGCGGUUGGAGAUUCAGGUUUUAAUCCACACAAGCCCCAGUGAGGGGUGAAGCAUGGCACCCGGGGCCUACCUGAGUUUCUGGCCUGGGUGUCGUGCUGGUGUCUGCCUCUGCGCUGCUGCAUCUGGACGAAGGCUGCCUUCUGGUGGGACGCGACACCCGGCAGACAGUGGUGCUGCCUUCCAGGCCCCGUGGCCUAGGUUCGGAGUGGCCAGGCACGGGGCGGUCCAAUCCCCCACCCGCUGUCCCCCUAUGGGGGCAGAAAAGCAAUAAUGUCCAGGGGCAGGCAGGGGCCCUUGGGAGCUGCAGGGCUGGGGGUUAGGGCUGCUCCCUGGUGAAUGGAGUCAGAUCCUAGGAUCUGUACCAUGGGGAACCAGGAGUGGCCGGGCUGGGUGCCGCCUCCUGGUCCGGCCUCCUCCCCACCAAACUGUCCUCACCCUAUGGAUGAGGCAGGAGGAACAUUUGGGGGCAAACCUGCCUGCCUCCCAGCCCCGUGCCUUACUAGGGCUUCCUUCCAGCUGGCCUUACCUCCCGCUGGACCCUGGGCCUGGCCUGGCCCCACUGGGGGGCUAUGGGCUGGGCUCACCCUCUCCUCUGCGGGGGUGGAGGGGCACCAGCCUUGGCUGUUACAAUCUUACACCGGACAGUAUUGGGCUCCAUGGACUUGGUCAGGGAGGGGUGGGGGUGGGCAUCUCUGGUACCUAUUGGGGUGGGGGGCCUCUGAGAAGGGAGGCUCCUAGGCCCCCCUCACCCCUCCCUCUUCCCAGGGCCCCACGUUCUGCAGCCUUAAGGUUGAACAUGAGUGCACGUCCAUGUCAGUGCUGUGGGACUCCUGUGCGUGCCUCGGACUGCGUGUGUCGGCGGGACGCAGGCACACGUGGGUGUGUGUGCAUGUGUGUUUGUGUGAGGGCAGCAUGUCCUCCAGUGUGCAUGGUGUGUGGGCUUGGGCCCCAUCCCUGGCCCGAGCAUUUCAUCCUGUGGGGGAGGGGUGCUGACCUAGUGGGAGGAGCCCCACCGUGAUCCAUGAGCUGCCCUGCCCACGCCUCCCCUCCCUGUAGCAACACCUCUGGGUGUUUGGAGUUUAGCUUUUGUGGGUUUGCUCUCCCUACCCCAUCUCCUGUACUACACAGUUCAUGGCAGGGUGGGGAGGGGUGGGGUUGGUUCGGGUGGGUGAGGGUCUUUUUCCUCUGUGUGCGAUGUCGUUAUCUGACAGUUCUCCGUCCCUACUGGCCUUUCUCCUCGUCUUCAUAUUUGUACGGUACAAGCAAUAAAGACACUCAUUUCAG
This 4368-nucleotide small RNA is filed under the name Pan troglodytes (chimpanzee). RNAcentral describes it as "retained intron". Lineage: Eukaryota; Metazoa; Chordata; Mammalia; Primates; Hominidae. The record is from RNAcentral.